GCUGCUACCACCAUGAUUUGGGGCUGCCCUGUGACUUGCUCAGGCUAAUAGAAUGCAGCGGGAGUGACGAUGUGCCGGUUUCAAGUCUGGGCCAUGAGAGGCCUUGCAGCUUCUGCUCUUGCUGUCUCAGAACCUUUCCCCUGCCACAUGAAAAAGCCCAGCUAGCCCACUGGCAGAUGAGAGACCAUGUGGAGAAGCCCACCAGCUUACCAUAGACUCAGGCCAACAGAGAACCACCCAGCUGAGCCAAGCCCAAAUUGCUAACCCAUGAAAUUGUGAGCCAAAUAAGUCGCUACUAUUUUAAGCCACUUAGUUUCCAGAUGUUUGUUACGCAGCUAGAGCUAACUAAUACCUCCUCUUCCAAUCCUCUUUGGCUGGGGAGGAGUAAGGAACACUUUGGACAGUGCCUGCCACAGAGAGGAUGCCCACUAAGUGCUGGUCUUCUCCUGCUCCUGCGUCAAAGGUGAAAGAAAGAAGUUCUAUUAGGAGCACCUCCUAUGCCCCGACGGUCUGGGGGAUACAGAAGUAAACAGUACAGUCUACAUCUUCAAGAAACAUGAGAUCCAUGAAGAGACACAGAGACCAUGGACAAAUGAAUAAAUGAACCAAUGAAUGAGUGAAA
Long non-coding RNA from Lagenorhynchus albirostris (white-beaked dolphin), 622 nucleotides. RefSeq lists it as uncharacterized. Lineage: Eukaryota; Metazoa; Chordata; Mammalia; Artiodactyla; Delphinidae. The transcript has 2 exons. The record is from RefSeq and is a predicted model, not a curated record.